UUAAAAAGCUCGUAGUUGAAUUUCGGGAUUGACGUGAUGGUCGUGCCUUAAGGGGUAUGAACUGUUGCUGUUGAUUUCUCACCUUCUGGAGAAACUUGAUGUCCUUAAUUGGGUGUCUUGCGGAUCCAGGACCUUUACCUUGAAAAAAUUAGAGUGUUUAAAGCAGGCAUUUUGCUCGAAUACAUUAGCAUGGAAUAAUAGAAUAGGACGGCAUGGUUCUAUUUUGUUGGUUUCUAGGAUCACCGUAAUGAUUAAUAGGGAUAGUUGGGGG
This 271-nucleotide ribosomal RNA is filed under the name uncultured Glomeromycotina. RNAcentral describes it as "partial 18S ribosomal RNA". It matches the Rfam family "Eukaryotic small subunit ribosomal RNA", at positions 619 to 888 of the family's 1831-position model. The record is from RNAcentral. Lineage: Eukaryota; Fungi; Glomeromycota.